This 250-nucleotide ribosomal RNA is filed under the name uncultured Chroococcidiopsis sp. RNAcentral's name for it is "partial 16S ribosomal RNA". It matches the Rfam family "Bacterial small subunit ribosomal RNA", at positions 796 to 1044 of the family's 1533-position model. Lineage: Bacteria; Bacillati; Cyanobacteriota; Cyanophyceae; Chroococcidiopsidales; Chroococcidiopsidaceae. The record is from RNAcentral.
CUAGCUGUAAACGAUGGAUACUAGGCGUUGAGAGUAUCGACCCUCUCAGUGUCGUAGCUAACGCGUUAAGUAUCCCGCCUGGGGAGUACGCGCGCAAGCGUGAAACUCAAAGGAAUUGACGGGGGCCCGCACAGGCGGUGGAGUAUGUGGUUUAAUUCGAUGCAACGCGAAGAACCUUACCAGGGCUUGACAUGUCCGGAACCCUGCCCAAAGGCGGGGGUGCCUACGGGAACCGGAACACAGGUGGUGC